GCGCUCGUGGCGAAAUCGGCAGACGCGCCGGAUUUAGGAUCCGGUGGGCGACCAUGGGGGUUCAAAUCCCUCCGAGCGCACCA
This 83-nucleotide transfer RNA is filed under the name Eubacteriales Family XIII. Incertae Sedis bacterium. RNAcentral's name for it is "tRNA-Leu". It matches the Rfam family "tRNA". Rfam says of the family: Transfer RNA (tRNA) molecules are approximately 80 nucleotides in length. Their secondary structure includes four short double-helical elements and three loops (D, anti-codon, and T loops). Lineage: Bacteria; Bacillati; Bacillota; Clostridia; Peptostreptococcales; Anaerovoracaceae. The record is from RNAcentral.